UGGGGAAUUUUGGACAAUGGGGGCAGCCCUGAUCCAGCCAUGCCGCGUGCGGGAAGAAGGCCUUCGGGUUGUAAACCGCUUUUAGCCGGGACGAAAGCUGUACGGAUAACACCCGUGCAGGUUGACGGUACCGGCGGAAUAAGCACCGGAUAACUCUGUGCCAGCAGCCGCGGUAAUACAGAGGGCGCGAGCGUUGUCCGGAAUCACUGGGCGUAAAGGGCGCGUAGGUGGCGGCGCAAGCGGGCGGUGAAAGCCCGGGGCUCAACCCCGGGUCGGCCGUGCGAACUGCGUCGCUCGAGCGUGGUAGAGGCGGGUGGAAUUCCGGGUGUAGCGGUGGAAUGCGUAGAGAUCCGGAAGAACACCGGUGGCGAAGGCGGCCCGCUGGGCCACGGCUGACACUGAGGCGCGACAGCGUGGGGAGCAAAC
RNAcentral lists this ribosomal RNA (426 nucleotides) under uncultured bacterium. Its description in RNAcentral is "bacterial SSU rRNA". It matches the Rfam family "Bacterial small subunit ribosomal RNA", at positions 355 to 773 of the family's 1533-position model. The record is from RNAcentral.